This 245-nucleotide long non-coding RNA is filed under the name Vigna radiata. Its description in RNAcentral is "long non-coding RNA (VRAD_LNC006437)". The record is from RNAcentral. Lineage: Eukaryota; Viridiplantae; Streptophyta; Magnoliopsida; Fabales; Fabaceae.
AAGGGAAGCAUGCUCAUGCAGAUGUUUUUCUUUUUCUUUCUUUUUUUGGACAUAUAUGCACGUAGUGAUUUUACUUUCUAAUAUUGAGUCAUAAUGAUUUAUUUAUUUAUUUUUUUAGUUAGAAGUGGAUUCAAUUAUUUGCUGACUAUGUUGUAACUUGUAAGAAUAUUCUCAAAUUUAGUAACUAAAGCUAUAAUGUAAUUUAUUUUUAAUAUUGAUUUAAAUUGGUCCAUUUUAGUGAAAUA